Molecule: ribosomal RNA, 253 nt
Filed under: uncultured bacterium
Lineage: Bacteria
Description: partial 16S ribosomal RNA
Rfam family: Bacterial small subunit ribosomal RNA
Source: RNAcentral
UACGUAGGUGGCAAGCGUUGUCCGGAAUCACUGGGCGUAAAGCGCGCGCAGGCGGCGAUCUACGUCUGGGGUGAAACUCCGGAGCUCAACUCCGGACGUGCAUAGGAUACUGGAGGGCUAGAGACUGGUAGAGGCGAGCGGAAUUCCUGGUGUAGCGGUGAAAUGCGCAGAUAUCAGGAGGAACACCGGUGGCGAAGGCGGGUCUCUGGGCCGAUACUGACGCUGAGGAGCGAAAGCGUGGGGAGCGAACAGG